AAUAACCUUCUUUGCCUCAGUUUUAAUUGCUCCUCAAAAAAUAGGGUAUUUGGGUGGGAGAGAGGGGAAACUGGGUGAUGGGCAUUGAGGAGGGCACUUGUUGGGAUGAGUACUGGGUGUUGUAUGUAAGCCAAUUUGACAAUUAAUUAUAUUUUUUAAACAACAGGGUUUUUGUUAUGUAUUAUAUACGUUAAUAUACAUGUAUUUGGUACUAGUGUGUUUGCUACCGUUUUUAAAGACUGGCUCACCAGUGUACCAUAAAGUGAUCCACAUGUUGCUGGGCACAUAGUAGGAGUUUAGUAAAUAUCUGUUAAUCAUUGAAUACUGAAACCAGCUUUUUCUAAUGGAUUAUCCAAGUUUCUCGUGCUUUACUGACGAUUCUCUGUGGAAGCACAAAAUAGUUCUUCACCAUCAUGACCUAUAUGCUAGUCUGCUAGUUACCUCUUUCAGAGGCCCUGGGAAAUCACAUUUACUUUGGUAAGCCCCUAGAGUACCGUGCUCUGCCUUGAAAAGCUACUUCCUAACUGUCCCUUCCACCCCCACCCUGAGGGUGCAGCCUCAGUGAGCACUCUGGUCACCAGGAUGUGAAAUGCAGUCAAAGAAUAGAGGGGGGAGGGAGGCAGUGAGAGAGUAGAUGGGCACUCAUGACAGACUGUCUCCUUUUGCCUUACUCUUUAUACCCUUAUUAAUCUGGGAGUCCUCUCGCCUCAUGUCCUUUCUGGAACAAAGCAGGGUCUAAAUAAAAUGUCAACAAUGUUUUUCUAUUCUACCUACUUCUCUAGCUUCCCAGGUUAUUUUGAAAUCUGAUCUGAUUCUUGGAGGCCAAGACUCACUGAUUAGGACAUUUGAUGAGCUUUGUCCUUUCAUCUCAUCUGAAUCCCUAGAAGUAGGCCCAGGGUAAACAUUUGACCAUUCUUGGCCUCAGGUGUGGAAAUUUGGUGUUAAGGGCUGAAUUUUGUCUCCCCUCCAAAUUCGCGUGUUGAAGUCCUAACCCACAGCACCUCAGAAUGUGUCUACAGACACAUUGGAGAUGGGGCCUUUAAAUAGGUAAUCAUGUUAAAAUGAGGUUCUUAGGAUGGGCCCUAAUCCAGUAUGACUGAUGUCGUUAUAAGAAAAGGGAAGCCAAGAAGACAGGCCUCAGGAGAAACCAAAGCUGUGGACACCUUGACCUUGGACUUCUCACCUCCAGAACUGUGAGGAAAUACAUUUCUGUUUUUAAGCCACCCAGUCUGGGGUACUUUGCAGCUUUAGCAAAUUGAUACAAUUGGGAGUUAAAGAGGUUCAUCACCACACUUAGGGCUACAGAGAGCUUUUCUCAGCUAAGAGGCCUUGUAGAAGGCCAUAGGGAGUCUGACUCUUCAGGAUGCAACAACAGAGCCAACACUCUGUCUACCGCCCAGCUCCCUGCCAAGCUGUGUGUGUGUGUGGGGGGGGGGGUCACUUAUGCAAUAAUCAAAGUCAACCAACCCCACAACUUCUCACUAAAUUAAGUCAGACAGGUGAUUACCAACACAUGCUCUGUAUUUAAAUAUCACCCAAUGUUCUAUGCAUGGCUCCACAACAAAGAACCAUUCUUGGAGACCUUGCAAAACUCUGUUCCAGCAGAAUUGUCUAUAAAAAACAUCCUCUGAAGGUUAUCUCUCCUCAUUUACUUCCACUGUAAAACUGGAGAUGCUUUUUCUUACUCUGGAAAAAACUUCCAGGUCAUCAUUCCCACUGAGGAAGCGGUCAAUGGGGUCAUUACCCCUCCUGCUGAGUGUGACCUUGUACCAGAUAAGCGCUGAGAAUUCACCAGGUGUGCUGGCUUUCAGAAUUUUGCAAAGUUUUUCUGGAACCCCUGUUUCCUCUUUGCUGUGCUCUCCACUCACUGCUUAUUUCCAUGCUAUGUCUGUCGGUCUUACUACUGUGGAUCCUGGAGAUCUACAACAAAGCUUCAUGAAAUUGUACUUCAAUUUCUGUUAACCUAACUUUAACCUGUUAACUUUCAUUCUGUUAACCUAACCUUAACCUGCAAGACCUCAGUCUUGUAAAAUAAAUGUCCAAUAUUUCCAGUUCCAUGCACCUGAAAUUCUGCAUGAGGAAGUUCAUGACAUUGAUGAUUCUAGCAGAGUAGAUGAGAUUUCACAACCCAUGGACCCAGAGGUAUUACGUGCAACUCUCUUUAUUUCCCCAUAACUGGAUUCCCUCUCUAGCUUCCUCCCCUACCCGAUGGCAGAAAAGUUACUUCCAGGACAAUUCAGACAUGUCCGAGUUUUCAGACUUUUUCAAGUUCACAAUUCAAUUAAUUCAGCUUUGAGCUCUCCCUGCUUUCCCUAGGUGGGUCCAUACAAAGGGGGCUCAGCCGUGGGAGAGGACUCUUGCCCUUUGAACCUCUCUCUGUCUUAUGCUAGCUGAUGCUGAUAUGAGACCUGCUCCAUCCAGGCCACUAUGAUGAUUCCUUCCUUUGACAGCCUCGGCCAUCCUAAUCUGGGGUAUUGACAGACCGUACUAGUUUUUUUCCUUAACCCCCAGGUCCCUUCGGGUCUCGGGCAACCCCUCUCCGGGGCACUGGCGCUAUGGGAUGCUCCCCAGGGGACGUUCCCAGCCUGGUCUUUCCAGUUUGGACAUUUUCCCCUUUACUGGCUCACCCUCCCCCAAGCUGGUGUCGUGUGGAAGGAAAUCAGGUCCGUGCACGCUUCCCCGGUCCUGCCAGGAAGGGGCCCAGGCUUCCUAAAGUUUUCCAGGAAAAGUCCUCCUCCCCCGCUACCCCCCAGCUCCGCCCUUCUGCGGGAGGGGGCAGCGUGGCUGGCUUUAAGCUUUAACUCUUCCGUCACAGCAGCGCUCCUUCAGUGUCUCACGCCAUCCGGAUCUCCGAUCUCCCGGGGAGGAGGCGGUGGUGGGAGGGACACAACCUCUGCCUCAUCAUAUCUUUUUCAAAAUUUGUAUUUUCUUCGUCAGCACUGACCAAAUGGGCAUGCUUUGUUCUGAGUUCUUCUCCUGGAGGGUCCGUGACAAAUCUGAAUACGUCCAAGGAAACAAUUGGGUCAAGGAAGGAGGAAAAACCUCUCAGCAUGGUGGAGAAUGAGGUAACAUGAAGAAGUCUCAGGAAAAGAGAUUGGAACAGAAGUGGAUUUGCUAUGGCUUUCGUGGAAUAGAAGCUUCUGGGCCCCCCACCUGCACUAUCUUCUUUGAAGACUUCCACCUAAUAUCACGUUCAUCAUUGUUAUUCUUUUUUUUCUGAAGGAGAGCCCUCCCCCCCACCCCAAGUUGAAUAAGAUCAGCUCCACUAAUUCUGGAUCCACCCCUGAGCUAGAAUUAAUCUACAUAAUUCCUUGGGACAAAACUAGGAUUAAUAGUAGAAAGUUACAGUGAGGCAAACAUUGCUCAAGAUCUGGAAAUUCUCCCAGUUAGAGCUAUUAAAAAUUGGGAUGGGCUGCAGAAAACCAGAAAGUGCGUCAUUGGAUGCCUUGGGUAGAAGCAAAUGAGGCAGGGGUGUUGUAAGAGGGGCUGAUGAUCUCUCCCAACUCUAGGAAUCAAAGUCUCUGAGAUAAGCUACAGAGAGGGCACUGAGACAGCAUUUGCUUGCCUAUGUAUUAAUAGUAGGGACCCCAAGUCCAAUAGCAGGGACCCCCAAGUCCAGGCACGUAUAGUUUGCUAGGUUUAAGUCACUGUAUUAAAAAAAAAGUAAUAAAAAUAUUCAGAAGCA
This is a long non-coding RNA of Felis catus (domestic cat), 3685 nucleotides long. RefSeq lists it as uncharacterized. NCBI's taxonomy places the organism in Eukaryota, Metazoa, Chordata, Mammalia, Carnivora, Felidae. The transcript has 2 exons. The record is from RefSeq and is a predicted model, not a curated record.